This 577-nucleotide long non-coding RNA is filed under the name Cimex lectularius (bed bug). RNAcentral describes it as "uncharacterized LOC106663565, transcript variant X3". The record is from RNAcentral. Lineage: Eukaryota; Metazoa; Arthropoda; Insecta; Hemiptera; Cimicidae.
UGACGUCGUCGGCUUAAUCCCGAGUGAUCUACUUUUACAAACCUUACGUAUGGUUAAACCGCGAUUAAAACGCACAUGUGAUUUUUUGUUCGUAUUAUCCUAGGAUGUUUAUUUCCAGAAGAGAUUUUGUGGGAUUAUAUCUUUGGUCGUACCCUUGAAAAAAAAUACAUUCAUUCUUCACGUAAGGACUUGACGCGUGCGAUUCAAAUAAAAAGAUGUCCUACGUCAAUGACCAACAAGGAGAAUCGUCUCUGAAAGUGACGAAAAUACCAGUGGAUCCAUACAGACAAGCAAAGGUUUACGCCAUAAUUGAUCCUCCGCAGUUUACACCUAGCAGUUUCGUCCCUACUCCUCCAUCGCCUCCACCUACAUUUUCAUCGCGUGUAUUUUAUUCCGGUGAGUCUCCGGAGGAAAAAUUACUUCGCAAAUUUCGAAAAAAGGUCCUUGCUUGGUUUGUGAUCGCGGUCAUACUAUUCAUCUUAUUCUGCAGUCUUGUUAACUUUUUUACACGGCGCGCUAAAGAUGAAAAUUAAUCUUAAGGUACAAUGUAUCGGGAUAAGGGUUUUAUUUUAAAUUU